UGGGGUAAAGGCCUACCAAGGCGACGAUCAGUAGCUGGUCUGAGAGGACGACCAGCCACAUUGGGACUGAGACACGGCCCAAACUCCUACGGGAGGCAGCAGUGGGGAAUUUUGGACAAUGGGGGCAACCCUGAUCCAGCCAUGCCGCGUGCAGGAAGAAGGCCUUCGGGUUGUAAACUGCUUUUGUCAGGAACGAAACGGAAACGGGUAACAUACGUUUCUAAUGACGGUACCUGAAGAAUAAGCACCGGCUAACUAC
This 259-nucleotide ribosomal RNA is filed under the name uncultured bacterium. RNAcentral's name for it is "partial 16S ribosomal RNA". It matches the Rfam family "Bacterial small subunit ribosomal RNA", at positions 253 to 504 of the family's 1533-position model. The record is from RNAcentral.